This 253-nucleotide ribosomal RNA is filed under the name uncultured bacterium. RNAcentral's name for it is "partial 16S ribosomal RNA". It matches the Rfam family "Bacterial small subunit ribosomal RNA", at positions 524 to 776 of the family's 1533-position model. The record is from RNAcentral.
UACGUAGGCAGCGAGCGUUGUUCGGAGUUACUGGGCGUAAAGAGUGCGUAGGCGGUUUUCUAAGUUUGGUGUGAAAUCUCCCGGCUUAACUGGGAGGGUGCGCCGAAAACUGGAAGGCUUGAGUAUGGGAGAGGUAAGCGGAAUUCCUGGUGUAGCGGUGAAAUGCGUAGAUAUCAGGAGGAACACUUGCGGUGUAGACGGCUUACUGGACCAUAACUGACGCUGAGGCACGAAAGCGUGGGCAGCAAACAGG